This 450-nucleotide ribosomal RNA is filed under the name uncultured Chloroflexota bacterium. RNAcentral's name for it is "bacterial SSU rRNA". It matches the Rfam family "Bacterial small subunit ribosomal RNA", at positions 920 to 1382 of the family's 1533-position model. Lineage: Bacteria; Bacillati; Chloroflexota. The record is from RNAcentral.
CCCGCACAAGCAGCGGAGCGUGUGGUUAAUUCGAUGCAACACGAAAAACCUCACCAAGAUUUGACAUGUCGGAAGUAGUGAACCGAAAGGUUAAUUAACUGUUAAGCCAGUAGCCGUCACAGGUGCUGCAUGGCUGUCGUCAGCUCGUGCCGUGAGGUGUAUGGUUAAGUCCUGCAACGAGCGCAACCCUCGUGGUUAGUUGUUUUCUCUAACCAGACUGCCUCGCAAAACGGGGAGGAAGGUGGGGAUGACGUCAAGUCAGCAUGGCCUUUAUAUCUUGGGCUACACACACGCUACAAUGGGUGGCACAAUAGGUUGCAACAGUGCGAACUGAAGCUAAUCCCCAAAGCCAUCCUCAGUACAGAUUGCAGGCUGAAACCCGCCUGCAUGAAGUCGGAGUUGCUAGUAACCGCAAAUCAGCAUGUUGCGGUGAAUACGUUCUCGGGCCUU